RNAcentral lists this ribosomal RNA (253 nucleotides) under uncultured bacterium. RNAcentral describes it as "partial 16S ribosomal RNA". It matches the Rfam family "Bacterial small subunit ribosomal RNA", at positions 524 to 776 of the family's 1533-position model. The record is from RNAcentral.
UACGUAGGGGGCAAGCGUUGUCCGGAUUUAUUGGGCGUAAAGAGCGUGUAGGCGGCCGUACAGGUCAGCUGUGAAAACUCGAGGCUCAACCUCGAGACGUCGGUUGAAACCGUACGGCUAGAGUCCGGAAGAGGAGAGUGGAAUUCCCGGUGUAGCGGUGAAAUGCGCAGAUAUCGGGAAGAACACCCGUGGCGAAGGCGGCUCUCUGGGACGGUACUGACACUGAGACGCGAAAGCGUGGGGAGCGAACAGG